ACAACUAUUAAUGAGUUUGUUUUGACACCUCCAACCCAUUUAUUUUAGUAAUGUCAUUUUUAUUAAAAACAUUUUUCAUUUCUUCUUCUCACUUUCUACAAUUAUAUUUUUCUUGUAAUUUCUUUUUUUUUUUCCUGCAAAGACAAUUUCACUAAGAUUUCAUAGAACUAACUUCCAUGAUAUCUCAACACCCUUCAAAUUUUCUACAGUGAUUGUUCAUACAAAGGGGUAAUAAAAACAUUCUUAUUUUGUAUUUACCUAGAUCAAGCAUAAUUAGUAGACUAAUAGAAAACCAAAUUAAGAUUAAUAUUUCUUAUGAACAUAAUAAGUUAUGCUUUCACAAUCUUAAGUAAGAAACUAAAUACAAAAUAUUCUAGCAAAGCCUUUGUGCCCAAUCUUAAGUAAGAAAGUAAAUACAAAAUAAAUUCAGAAUUUAAUCUUCAUGGAGAUAUUAACAUAUCUACAUAUUUUAUUCAUGCAAACCACUCUGUAUGAUUCUCCACCUGAAAGAUUUGAACAAUCAGAAUCUCUCACACAUGUCGUAUGUUUUAGUGCUGCAAAAAAGAAAAGAAAUUAAAUAAUAUAUGAUAAAAUAUUGUGUGCAAAUAAAAGAAUGAAGUUUAUAAGAAAUAAAAAAUGGCUUACCUUCAAUGUUCUGUUCAACAAAAUAUAUGAAAAUAAAUAUAAUUAUAACAUAAACAAACAUGGAAACUAAGGCCAUUUAUUCCCUUGUGCAUCUAACAAAUUAUUCUAUCAUUUUAUAAUUUAAAAAGCAUGUCCUCUCCUUACAUCAAUUAAAUAGUUUUUAGUAUUUAUAUAUUUGUAAAAAAUCAUUCCUUCAAUCAUUAUAGUUAUUAAAUAUCCCCAAGUACAUCAAAGUAUA
This 883-nucleotide long non-coding RNA is filed under the name Lathyrus oleraceus (garden pea). RNAcentral describes it as "Pisum sativum (pea) long non-coding RNA (PSAT_LNC020339)". Lineage: Eukaryota; Viridiplantae; Streptophyta; Magnoliopsida; Fabales; Fabaceae. The record is from RNAcentral.